RNAcentral lists this unclassified non-coding RNA (362 nucleotides) under fungal sp. Its description in RNAcentral is "partial internal transcribed spacer region". The stretch from base 1 to 46 matches the Rfam family "Eukaryotic small subunit ribosomal RNA", at positions 1786 to 1831 of the family's 1831-position model. Lineage: Eukaryota; Fungi. The record is from RNAcentral. RNAcentral also lists the same sequence under 1 other name.
AAGUCGUAACAAGGUUUCCGUAGGUGAACCUGCGGAAGGAUCAUUAUCACGUAUCCACGUAUCAACUCUUGUGAACUGUACCACCUCUAAGCGUUUUGUGAUGAUUUUGAGGGGGUUGGUUGGGUUGGAGAGAGUGAAAUUGCAAUUUAUUUUGCUUUUUUCGUUCUUUUCUUCUCUCUCAUUUCUCUUCUUUAUCCUCUCACAUUACUGCUCAGAGUGUAUUUUCCCUUUUUUUCUUUAUUCACCUUUCGAACCAAAUCUCUUUUAAGAUUUUUGAACUGAUUUAGUAGGAAAAUUGAAAAAUUUUUCUACUUUAUUACGAAAAUACUGUACAACUCUUAGCAACGGAUAUCUUGGCUCUC